GUGCUCGCUUCGGCAGCACAUAUACUAAAAUUGGAACGAUACAGAGAAGAUUCGCACAGCCCCUGUGCAAG
This 71-nucleotide small nuclear RNA is filed under the name Erinaceus europaeus (western European hedgehog). Lineage: Eukaryota; Metazoa; Chordata; Mammalia; Eulipotyphla; Erinaceidae. The record is from RNAcentral.